GACGAACGCUGGCGGUGUGCUUAACACAUGCAAGUCGAACGGUAAGGCCCUUUCGGGGGUACACGAGUGGCGAACGGGUGAGUAACACGUGAGUAACCUGCCCUCAUCUCUGGGAUAACAGUCGGAAACGGUUGCUAAUACUGGAUAUGAGCUUGCAAGGCAUCUUGUGGGUUGGAAAGAUUUUUUUGGUUGGGGAUGGACUCGCGGCCUAUCAGCUUGUUGGUGAGGUAGUGGCUCACCAAGGCUUCGACGGGUAGCCGGCCUGAGAGGGCGAACGGCCACAUUGGGACUGAGAUACGGCCCAAACUCCUACGGGAGGCAGCUGUGGGGAAUAUUGCACAAUGGACGGAAGUCUGAUGCAGCAACGCCGCGUGCGGGAUGACGGCCUUCGGGUUGUAAACCGCUUUCAAUUGUGACGAAGCUUUUUGUGACGGUAGCAGUAGAAGAAGCACCGGCUAACUACGUG
This 466-nucleotide ribosomal RNA is filed under the name uncultured bacterium. RNAcentral describes it as "partial 16S ribosomal RNA". It matches the Rfam family "Bacterial small subunit ribosomal RNA", at positions 28 to 507 of the family's 1533-position model. The record is from RNAcentral.